This 350-nucleotide unclassified non-coding RNA is filed under the name uncultured Actinomycetes bacterium. RNAcentral's name for it is "uncultured actinobacterium partial contains 16S ribosomal RNA, 16S-23S ribosomal RNA intergenic spacer, and 23S ribosomal RNA". The stretch from base 237 to 350 matches the Rfam family "Bacterial large subunit ribosomal RNA", at positions 1 to 113 of the family's 2925-position model. Lineage: Bacteria; Bacillati; Actinomycetota; Actinomycetes. The record is from RNAcentral.
UCUAAGGAGCACACCAUUGCCGUCGCCAACAUCUUGUUGGUCUCGGUGGUGCACUCCCGAGUCGAUCACUCGUUAUUCGGCCUUCUCGAGCACCAACGGUUCGCAGGUUUCGACCUCGCCGUCGGCCAGCUCGAGUCAGUCGGUCCCUCCUCUGUUCCGUUUUUUAGGAGCGCUGCUUUGUCGCGCGUUCCUUGAGAGUUGGAUAGCAAGCACGAGCAUCUUUUUUUCGAAUUGAUUUCCAAGCUACAAAGAGCCAACGGUGGAUGCCUUGGCGCCUGAUGCCGAUGAAGGACGUGGGUGACUGCGAAAAGCCGCGGGGAGGUGUCGACCGACCGUCGAUCCGCGGAUGU